UACGGAAGGCAGCAGUGGGGAAUAUUGCACAAUGGGCGCAAGCCUGAUGCAGCCAUGCCGCGUGUAUGAAGAAGGCCUUCGGGUUGUAAAGUACUUUCAGCGGGGAGGAAGGCGGUGAAGUUAAUAGCUUCACCGAUUGACGUUACCCGCAGAAGAAGCACCGGCUAACUCCGUGCCAGCAGCCGCGGUAAUACGGAGGGUGCAAGCGUUAAUCGGAAUUACUGGGCGUAAAGCGCACGCAGGCGGUCUGUCAAGUCGGAUGUGAAAUCCCCGGGCUUAACCUGGGAACUGCAUUCGAAACUGGCAGGCUAGAGGUCUUGUAGAGGGGGUAGAAUUCCAGGUGUAGCGGUGAAAUGCGUAGAGAUCUGGAGGAAUACCGGUGGCGAAGGCGGCCCCCUGGGACAAAGCUGACGCUCAGGUGCGAAAGCGUGGGGAGCAAACAGGAUUAGGAUACC
This 455-nucleotide ribosomal RNA is filed under the name uncultured bacterium. Its description in RNAcentral is "bacterial SSU rRNA". It matches the Rfam family "Bacterial small subunit ribosomal RNA", at positions 340 to 786 of the family's 1533-position model. The record is from RNAcentral.